Molecule: ribosomal RNA, 407 nt
Filed under: uncultured eukaryote
Lineage: Eukaryota
Description: SSU rRNA
Rfam family: Eukaryotic small subunit ribosomal RNA
Source: RNAcentral
CAAUAGCGUAUAUUAAAGUUGUUGCAGUUAAAAGCUCGUAGUUGAACUUCUGGCUGUGGGUAGGUUCGGCUUUGGUCGGCCUAUUCGCAGUCAUCCGAUUGCAAACUGCGUAUGGCAUUCAGUUGUCAGCGUAGGGAGCAGUCAAUUUACUUUGAAAAAUUAGAGUGUUUCAGGCAGGCAAUCGCCCGAAUACAUUAGCAUGGAAUAAUGGAAAAGGACUUUGGUUCAUUUGGUUGGCUAUUGAAUCAGAGUAAUGAUAAAUAGGGACAGUUGGGGGCAUUAGUAUUUAAUUGUCAGAGGUGAAAUUCUUGGAUUUAUUAAAGACUAACUUAUGCGAAAGCAUUUGCCAAGGAUGUUUUCAUUAAUCAAGAACGAAAGUUAGGGGAUCAAAGACGAUCAGAUACCGU